Molecule: ribosomal RNA, 483 nt
Filed under: uncultured bacterium
Lineage: Bacteria
Description: partial 16S ribosomal RNA
Rfam family: Bacterial small subunit ribosomal RNA
Source: RNAcentral
UUGAACGCUGGCGGCAUGCCUUACACAUGCAAGUCGAACGGCAGCGCGGGAGCAAUCCUGGCGGCGAGUGGCGAACGGGUGAGUAAUACAUCGGAACGUGCCCAAUCGUGGGGGAUAACGCAGCGAAAGCUGUGCUAAUACCGCAUACGAUCUACGGAUGAAAGCAGGGGAUCGCAAGACCUUGCGCGAAUGGAGCGGCCGAUGGCAGAUUAGGUAGUUGGUGUGGUAAAGGCUCACCAAGCCUUCGAUCUGUAGCUGGUCUGAGAGGACGACCAGCCACACUGGGACUGAGACACGGCCCUGACUCCUACGGGAGGCAGCAGUGGGGAAUUUUGGACAAUGGGCGAAAGCCUGAUCCAGCCAUGCCGCGUGCAGGAUGAAGGCCUUCGGGUUGUAAACUGCUUUUGUACGGAACGAAACGGUCUUUUCUAAUAAAGAAGGCUAAUGACGGUACCGUAAGAAUAAGCACCGGCUAACUACGUG